This is a long non-coding RNA of Equus caballus (horse), 1125 nucleotides long. The record is from Ensembl. Lineage: Eukaryota; Metazoa; Chordata; Mammalia; Perissodactyla; Equidae.
UGCCAUUUUGUGAUCUCCACCCUACACCACACUCAAAAAACUAGAACAUCUAUCCUCCAUAUCAUAAACACACAGCAAACCCAGCGUUGAUUACGUGGGAGGGUCCGUGGGUGUGGCUGGUGAAGGAAGAGAUGAGGGGAAGGAGCUGGCUGGCUGGGUCUUGAGCCUUGCCUAGUCCCAUCAUGACUGGUGGGGUGACCCUGGGCAAGUGGCCUCCCCUCGACCAGCCUCAGUGUUCUCUCUUUAAAAUAGGGGCAGUGGUACCUUUCCUCACACUGCUGCUGUCAGUGUGAAAUGUUGUCAGUGUUGUUGAGCAAAUGGCUAAGGCUCACCCUUAGCCCACUGGCCAAGCUGAGCAAAAGCAAAUUGUGACUUGCUCUUUCUCCUGCUGGGACCCUGGAGAAGCCCUAGGGCAUCCAUCUGUAGAGACCAGAGAGGGACACAGCCCACCUCCCAGCACCACCUUAUCACAGGCCCAAACCCUCGAAAGAGGACCCUGCAGUCUACCCUGCGGCCGCUGCUGGAAGGCGGAGUGAGGGUGACGUCCAAUCCUGACCAGACCCAGCUUCUCUUUUCUAGGUGCUGGAAAUACAGCUGUGGACAAAACAGAGUCCCUGCCCUCCAAGAGUGCACAGCCUACAGAAGGGAGCUAGAGAAGGAACAGACGCGAAAGCUACGAAGUGUCACAUGACAGCCAGAGCUGAGGGCAAAUAAAGCAGGGAGCAGAGUGUGUCUGUCCAGCCGCUCUCCCCUUCUGUGUCCCCAGGAAAAUGAUGGCAUUUUCUGCACCAGGGUCCUUCACAUUGUCGGCCUGGUUUAUUCCUAGGUAUUGUGUGCGUCCAGACCCUGUGAUGCAGAGGAGCAGCGGUUCCUGCCACCGCCCUCCGUUCUCUCACCAGCGCUGUGCAACAACGUGCUUUUGUAUUCUUUCCACCCUUUGCAAGCGAGGCUUUGACCCUUCUGUUGUCACCGUCCCUGAGCUGUGCUAUUUUGUCAUGUGCCUUAGUAAUUAGCCGGGCUCCCUGCCACCUGCCCUGGCAUGCAGUUUUGCCCUUGGACUCAGCAUAAAGCUCUGGGGAUCGCCAGCAGGUAUAUCUUGCUACCCUCCUACUCGUCUUCUUGCAC